RNAcentral lists this transfer RNA (68 nucleotides) under Marmota marmota marmota (Alpine marmot). It matches the Rfam family "tRNA". Rfam says of the family: Transfer RNA (tRNA) molecules are approximately 80 nucleotides in length. Their secondary structure includes four short double-helical elements and three loops (D, anti-codon, and T loops). Further hydrogen bonds mediate the characteristic L-shaped molecular structure. tRNAs have two regions of fundamental functional importance: the anti-codon, which is responsible for specific mRNA codon recognition, and the 3' end, to which the tRNAs corresponding amino acid is attached (by aminoacyl-tRNA synthetases). tRNAs cope with the degeneracy of the genetic code in two manners: having more than one tRNA (with a specific anti-codon) for a particular amino acid; and 'wobble' base-pairing, i.e. permitting non-standard base-pairing at the 3rd anti-codon position. Lineage: Eukaryota; Metazoa; Chordata; Mammalia; Rodentia; Sciuridae. The record is from Rfam by way of RNAcentral. RNAcentral also lists the same sequence under 1 other name.
GGGAAUAUAGCUCAGUUGGUAGAGUGCUUGCCUUGCAUGCACAGGUGCUGGGUUCAAUCCCCAGCCCA